AUCCAGCUGAUGAGUUCCAAAUAGGACGAAACGCGUGUCCUGGAU
Non-coding RNA from Schistosoma mansoni, 45 nucleotides. Lineage: Eukaryota; Metazoa; Platyhelminthes; Trematoda; Strigeidida; Schistosomatidae. The record is from Rfam.